AAGUCGUAACAAGGUUUCCGUAGGUGAACCUGCGGAAGGAUCAUUACUGAGUGGCUGGCGCCGCCUCUGCGGUGCGAGAGCGCGCGGGGGGGGAGAGCGGUUACCCGACCUUUUGUCAUUUGGGCUGGCGGCUGUUUUCCAGGCUGGGGGCUUCUGGGCUGGGGUUCCCGAGUGGGAGGACCAGACUGGGGGGUUCCAGGGUGGAGACAGGCGGCGGCAUGUUCAGGUUCGGCGGAGGAGGCAGGGGCUGGCCGAGGUUGACCGGAUGGAUGGAAAGAUCGAUCGGGUUGACUGCGGGAGAGGCGACCUGCCCGCCGCCGGUGGGAUUAGCAACUCUUUGUUAGCAAGGUGAAGUCUGAGGAAGCAAGAAAACGAAAAAGCAAAACUUUCAACAACGGAUCUCUUGGCUCUG
RNAcentral lists this unclassified non-coding RNA (412 nucleotides) under Scolecobasidium tshawytschae. RNAcentral describes it as "Ochroconis tshawytschae partial internal transcribed spacer region". The stretch from base 1 to 46 matches the Rfam family "Eukaryotic small subunit ribosomal RNA", at positions 1786 to 1831 of the family's 1831-position model. The record is from RNAcentral. Lineage: Eukaryota; Fungi; Ascomycota; Dothideomycetes; Venturiales; Sympoventuriaceae.